AACGAACGCUGGCGGCAGGCCUAACACAUGCAAGUCGAACGCCCUAGCAAUAGGGAGUGGCGCACGGGUGCGUAACGCGUGGGAAUAUGCCCUUCACUACGGGACAACAUCGGGAAACUGAUGCUAAUACCGUAUAAUGACUCCGGUCCAAGAUUUAUCGGUGAGGGAUUAGCCCGCGUUAGAUUAGCUAGUUGGUGAGGUAACGGCUCACCAAGGCAACGAUCUAUAGCUGGUCAGAGAGGAUGAUCAGCCACACUGGAACUGAGACACGGUCCAGACUCCUACGGGAGGCAGCAGUGAGGAAUAUUGGACAAUGGGGGAAACCCUGAUCCAGCCAUGCCGCGUGAGUGAAGAAGGCCUUCGGGUUGUAAAGCUCUUUUAGAUGUGAAGAUAAUGACGGUAGCAUCAGAAAAAGCCCCGGCUAAAUCCGUGCCAGCAGCCGCCGUAA
RNAcentral lists this ribosomal RNA (448 nucleotides) under uncultured bacterium. Its description in RNAcentral is "partial 16S ribosomal RNA". It matches the Rfam family "Bacterial small subunit ribosomal RNA", at positions 29 to 523 of the family's 1533-position model. The record is from RNAcentral.